This 386-nucleotide ribosomal RNA is filed under the name Mallomonas elongata. RNAcentral's name for it is "partial small subunit ribosomal RNA". It matches the Rfam family "Eukaryotic small subunit ribosomal RNA", at positions 30 to 432 of the family's 1831-position model. Lineage: Eukaryota; Synurophyceae; Synurales; Mallomonadaceae. The record is from RNAcentral.
GCUUGUCUCAAAGAUUAAGCCAUGCAUGUCUAAGUAUAAGUAUUAUACAGCGAAACUGCGAAUGGCUCAUUAAAACAGUUAUAGUUUACAUGAUAAUCGAAUUUACAUGGAUAACCGUGGUAAUUCUAGAGCUAAUACAUGCAUGAACCCCCGACUUUUGAAGGGUGUAUUUAUUAGAUUGAAACCAAUGCGGGUUCCCCGGUAUUUGGUGAUUCAUAAUAACUUUCGGAUCGACUUCGGUCGAUGCAUCAUUCAAGUUUCUGCCCUAUCAGCUUUGGAUGGUAGGGUAUUGGCCUACCAUGGCUUUAACGGGUAACGGAGAAUUAGGGUUCGAUUCCGGAGAGGGAGCCUGAGAAAUGGCUACCACAUCCAAGGAAGGCAGCAGG